Molecule: long non-coding RNA, 721 nt
Filed under: Elaeis guineensis (African oil palm)
Lineage: Eukaryota; Viridiplantae; Streptophyta; Magnoliopsida; Arecales; Arecaceae
Description: long non-coding RNA (EGUI_LNC004009)
Source: RNAcentral
GAUUGUGGCAUUCAGUAGAGAGUGUUUGUAUUUUUUCUUCUAAUAUUCAUAUGUUUUCACUGAUUUCUUUCAAUCUGGUUCCUUUUGCCAUUUCUUCUUUAACUUCACUCCAAUUUAGUAUUUUAUAAUGUUUGGAUUGGUUUUUGUUUUCGAUUACUAUUUUGCACUGUUUUGAAACUGUUUGAUGGUAAAAUUUUUACAACUCCUGGCUACAGUGAAUUCUAUCAGGGUGGCCGAUGAUGAUUUCAUGAGGCUAGAUUGCUGUUUCUAACUCGUUGGAACAAUAAUCACUAUUAAGAGACCCUGAUAUAUUCUUUAUCAUUUACCUCUGCUUCUACUGGAAGUAGAUUCAAAACAGUUUGGGAAUUACCUGAUAUUUCGGUAUCCUACUUGAUUGAAUUGAUUGUUCUGCUGCCAAUCUUCAGUUAAUAUGAGCUAUUAUUGUCUCUCUGAUGACCAUUUGCAAAAUCAGGUAGAAGUAAUUUGAUUGUUAUAGGUCUCUAUGUCCCAGGUCCAAGGCUCUAACUCUGGGCUUUGAUACCAAAUUUAUAAUAUCCCAGAUCUUUUGGUAAGAAUUUUUUUGGCUUCAGUUCCUGGUUGAUGCCGAUCUAAACCUGCAGAUAAGUGGUUUGAAUUUGAACUCUAGAACAGAGAAGAGUUAUGGAGGUGUUUUGAUUAGAUCUGGAGGAGAGAAAUAAGGAAUGAGGGAGAAAUUUUCAGA